RNAcentral lists this ribosomal RNA (168 nucleotides) under Antherothamnus pearsonii. RNAcentral describes it as "5.8S ribosomal RNA". It matches the Rfam family "5.8S ribosomal RNA". Rfam says of the family: 5.8S ribosomal RNA (5.8S rRNA) is a component of the large subunit of the eukaryotic ribosome. Lineage: Eukaryota; Viridiplantae; Streptophyta; Magnoliopsida; Lamiales; Scrophulariaceae. The record is from RNAcentral.
UAAUACGACUCUCGGCAACGGAUAUCUAGGCUCUCGCAUCGAUGAAGAACGUAGCGAAAUGCGAUACUUGGUGUGAAUUGCAGAAGUCUCCGUGAACCAUCGAGUUUUUGAACGCAAGUUGCGCCCGAAGCCAUUAGGCCGAGGGCACUGUCUGCCUGGGCGUCACGC